This 253-nucleotide ribosomal RNA is filed under the name uncultured bacterium. RNAcentral describes it as "partial 16S ribosomal RNA". It matches the Rfam family "Bacterial small subunit ribosomal RNA", at positions 524 to 776 of the family's 1533-position model. The record is from RNAcentral.
UACGUAGGAUGCAAGCGUUGUCCGGAUUUACUGGGCGUAAAGCGCGCGCAGGCGGCAGUGUAAGUAAGGUGUGAAAUCUCCCUGCUCAACGGGGAGGGUGCACUUUAGACUACACAGCUUGAGGUCGGUAGAGGGGGGUGGAAUUGCUGGUGUAGCGGUGAAAUGCGUAGAGAUCAGCAGGAACACCCGUGGCGAAGGCGGCCCCCUGGGCCGUACCUGACGCUGAGGCGCGAAGGCUAGGGGAGCGAACGGG